RNAcentral lists this unclassified non-coding RNA (520 nucleotides) under uncultured Glomus. Its description in RNAcentral is "SSU rRNA". It matches the Rfam family "Eukaryotic small subunit ribosomal RNA", at positions 569 to 1091 of the family's 1831-position model. Lineage: Eukaryota; Fungi; Glomeromycota; Glomeromycetes; Glomerales; Glomeraceae. The record is from RNAcentral.
AGCAGCCGCGGUAAUUCCAGCUCCAAUAGCGUAUAUUAAAGUUGUUGCAGUUAAAAAGCUCGUAGUUGAAUUUCGGGAUCAAUACGUCGGUCGUGCUUCGGUACGUACUGGCGUAAUUGAUUUCUCCCUUCUGACGAACCAUGAUGUCAUUAACUUGGUGUCAUGGGAAAUCAGGACUGUUACUUUGAAAAAAUUAGAGUGUUUAAAGCAGGCUCACGCUUGAAUACAUUAGCAUGGAAUAAUGAAAUAGGACGUUCGAUCCUAUUUUGUUGGUUUUUAGGAUCAACGUAAUGAUUAAUAGGGAUAGUUGAGGGCAUUAGUAUUCAAUUGUCAGAGGUGAAAUUCUUGGAUUUAUUGAAGACUAACUACUGCGAAAGCAUUUGCCAAGGAUGUUUUCAUUAAUCAAGAACGAAAGUUAGGGGAUCGAAGACGAUCAGAUACCGUCGUAGUCUUAACCAUAAACUAUGCCGACUAGGGAUCGGAUGAUGUUAAUUUUUUAAUGACUCAUUCGGCGCCCUAC